GCCCUUAUAGCUCAGUGGUAGAGCGCGUCACUAGUAGUCCUUAAACUACAAAUAAUAAUGACGAGGUCGAUCGUUCAAGUCGGUCUGGGGGCA
This is a non-coding RNA of Tulasnella sp. JGI-2019a, 93 nucleotides long. The record is from the annotation of a GenBank genome assembly. NCBI's taxonomy places the organism in Eukaryota, Fungi, Basidiomycota, Agaricomycetes, Cantharellales, Tulasnellaceae.